Long non-coding RNA from Symphalangus syndactylus (siamang), 559 nucleotides. RefSeq lists it as uncharacterized. NCBI's taxonomy places the organism in Eukaryota, Metazoa, Chordata, Mammalia, Primates, Hylobatidae. The record is from RefSeq and is a predicted model, not a curated record.
CCUCCUGCCCGGAGCGCUCUUUGUCACACUGUCUCCCUGAGUCCUGGCCCAGGAGCUAUGUCAUUGGUUCUCAAAAGCUUUGGUUUUAUGAUCCCUAUAUGCUCUUAGGAAUCAGUGAAGACGCCAAAGUUCUGGAGACUGGGAAGUCCAGGAUCAAGGCACCAGCAUCUGUUGAAGACCUCUUGCUGUGUCUUCACAUGGUAGAAGAUGGAAGGGCAAGACAGAGGACAAAGAGAGGCCAAAAGGGGUGAACCUGCUCCUUCAACAACGUGUUACAGGUGGGUCAUGGUAGAAGGUGUUUGGGUCAUGGAGGAGGAUCCCUCAUGGAUUGCUGCUGUCCUUGUGAUAGUGAGUUCUCCUGAGAUCUGGUUGUUUAAAAAUAUGUGGCACCUCCCUCCCCACUUCCUCCCGCUUUCACCAAGUGAUAUGCCUGCUUCUGUUUCCUUCCACAAUAAGUGAAAGCUCCCUGAGGCCUCCCCAGAAGCCAAGCAGAUACCAGUACCAUGCUUGUACAGCCUGCAAAACCAUGAGCCAAUAAACCACCGUUCUUUAUAAAUUA